This 585-nucleotide ribosomal RNA is filed under the name uncultured bacterium. RNAcentral describes it as "bacterial SSU rRNA". It matches the Rfam family "Bacterial small subunit ribosomal RNA", at positions 338 to 916 of the family's 1533-position model. The record is from RNAcentral.
CCUACGGGAGGCAGCAGUGGGGAAUUUUGGACAAUGGGCGCAAGCCUGAUCCAGCAAUGCCGCGUGAGUGAAGAAGGCCUUCGGGUUGUAAAGCUCUUUUGUCAGGGAAGAAACGGUUGGGGCUAAUAUCCUCAGCUAAUGACGGUACCUGAAGAAUAAGCACCGGCUAACUACGUGCCAGCAGCCGCGGUAAUACGUAGGGUGCAAGCGUUAAUCGGAAUUACUGGGCGUAAAGCGUGCGCAGGCGGUUUUGUAAGUCUGUCGUGAAAGCCCCGGGCUUAACCUGGGAAUUGCGAUGGAGACUGCAAGGCUUGAAUCUGGCAGAGGGGGGUAGAAUUCCACGUGUAGCAGUGAAAUGCGUAGAGAUGUGGAGGAACACCGAUGGCGAAGGCAGCCCCCUGGGUCAAGAUUGACGCUCAUGCACGAAAGCGUGGGGAGCAAACAGGAUUAGAUACCCUGGUAGUCCACGCCCUAAACGAUGUCUACUAGUUGUCGGGUCUUAAUUGACUUGGUAACGCAGCUAACGCGUGAAGUAGACCGCCUGGGGAGUACGGUCGCAAGAUUAAAACUUAAAGGAAUUGACGG